UGAGCCAAGUUUAGGGUUUCUUAAAAACCCAAGCAGUAUUGAACUGAAGAGUUUGAUCAUGGCUCAGAUUGAACGCUGGCGGCAGGCCUAACACAUGCAAGUCGAGCGGAUGACGGGAGCUUGCUCCUUGAUUCAGCGGCGGACGGGUGAGUAAUGCCUAGGAAUCUGCCUGGUAGUGGGGGACAACGUUUCGAAAGGAG
This 200-nucleotide ribosomal RNA is filed under the name Pseudomonas putida. RNAcentral describes it as "partial 16S ribosomal RNA". The stretch from base 41 to 200 matches the Rfam family "Bacterial small subunit ribosomal RNA", at positions 1 to 160 of the family's 1533-position model. Lineage: Bacteria; Pseudomonadati; Pseudomonadota; Gammaproteobacteria; Pseudomonadales; Pseudomonadaceae. The record is from RNAcentral.